Molecule: long non-coding RNA, 5050 nt
Filed under: Homo sapiens (human)
Lineage: Eukaryota; Metazoa; Chordata; Mammalia; Primates; Hominidae
Description: HSALNT0385956
Source: RNAcentral
AUCACACCAUUGCACUCCAGCCUUGGUGACUGAGUGAGACUCCAACCCUCCCCCCACUGCAAAAAAAAACCUGAUAGGAACAGGACUAUAUGACCACAAUAUGGUAAAGAAUCUGAAUUACAAUGUCCAUCAUUCAUAUUUUUUUAAGUAAAACAUUCUUUUUAACAUAAUCUCAUACCACCUUUACUUUACCAUCAUCUAUAUAAGCAGUCCAUUAUGGCAUGCAUCCUUUGCCCAUGCCAACUUGAAACUCCUUUUGGACAUAGACUGUAUGUAUCUGAAUUAAUAUUGUAUUCCCACUUAGGAAGGUGCCUGGCACACCAUAGGUGUUCAGUAAGAUUCAACUGAAUUCAAGUAGGCAGGUCAAACACUCAUGGGGUCAUUAAUUUGUCCAGAUGGACAUUCAAUUCUGCAGAAGUGUCAGAGAUACCCAAAUUUUGCUUCCAUAGUUUUAUUAAAUAUAAACUAAAUGUACAAGCAAGGAGGAAAGGUUAGUUUACAAAUUUUGCUUCUGGAACUCAAGGACUCUGAAAAAUAGUACUUAGUUAACUUUCAGUCCUCCAGAGAAGAUUUUUUUUGGAAAAUAAUGCCAAAGGGAUCUUGUGGCACACAGCCUUCUAACAUGACUCCCAGAAAUCCGCAUCUCCUGGUGUUCAUGCCAUUGUGUAAUUCCCUUCCAUUGAGUGGGGACUGGAUUUAGUGACUUACUUCCGAUAAGUAGAAUACAGCAGAUGUGAUGUGAUACUACUCCUGAGCUUUGGUUAUAAAAGAUUAUCAUUUCUAUCUUUCUGGCAUCCCCUCUCUGGCUCUUAUGGUGUGCUUGCCCUAAAGGAGAGGGCCAUUGGCAAGGAACUGAGGUGGCCUUCGAUCAACAGCCCACAAGGAAUGGAAUCCUGCCAAUAACAAUCAAAUGGUCCGAGGCAUCCAAGCAUGGCCUAUUGCCUGUGUCUUUAUUCUGAACAGAACAGGGCAGCCUUGGGAAAAUGCUGGCUGCUCAGCUAGCUCACUUAAAAAAAAUCACGUAAGCACUCCCUCUGCUCCUCUUAUUGGUGUUCAAGGCUUGAAGAGAGCUUUAGGGAAGGGUGUCUAAUGGAUCACAUGACUGUACCUACUGGUCCUUUUCCUGCCUUGUUAAUUACAAGGUGUUAUGAUCUUCACCACAGAUUGAUUACAUAAAGGGGAUCAUUUCUUCAUCCCCACCAUUUGCCAUGUAACUUUGUCAUGCCCUGUAUCUCUGACUCUGGCCUCUGUCAUUGACUUGCUGUGCCAAUGUUAGCAAAUGUGAAGCACACACAGGCUUGAAUAGCACUGUGCAACGGGACUUGUUAACACUUACCUUCUACUGUUGCUACAUGAACAUGCCCAGGCUAGCCUGAUGGAUGAUGAGAGACAUGUGGAAUAGAGCAGAGUCACCACAUUCAUCUCAGCUGAGACCUUUCUAGAUGGGUCAACAGCCCUCUACCCCCAGACGUGUGAGCCAGCCCAGCCAAGAUCAGCCAAGUCCAACCUGAAUAAUUGAACACUGAGGUCUUGUUGCAGAAUAAAAGUGUAUUAUUGUAACCCACAGUGGCUUUAUGAUUUUUAAUUAUGCAGCAGUAUUGUGGCAGCAGAUAAUUGAUACAGCCCUCAAAUGGAUAAUCUCUUUGGGUAUGGAGAAACAGGAUUUGGAAACCCAUAAGUGUAAGCCUUCAUAUAUGGGUAGAACAGGUUUCUUGCUCACAAGAGACACCAACUUAAAUUGAAAAGAAAGUGGUUUUGGACUAGUGCUAGGUACUGGUGCAUAAACCCAUGUAUAUACGCACAGGCUCUUGAGGGGUCAGUGAAAGAAGCUGCUGAAAUGUCACUCGUAGAAUGGGCUUCAAACAGGAGUGGGAUUUUCUCACCUUCAUCUAACUCCCUGCUGUUCUUUAAUGCAACUCUCCUAAGCCCCCAGCAUCCAGGUGUUCCUUUUGCCAUUUAUGAUGCUGCUUCUCUCCUACUUUGGGAUACCCUCCCUCUUUUCUGUUCAUCAUUAUCCCCCUGAUGCUAACCCAUUGAAUGGCUCUAUUUUCCUCUUCUCUGCAGUACUUUUAGGUUUUCAGCAUCUGUGUUACAUGCACUAGGCUUUGGUUUUAUAUGAUUACACAUCAGACUGCAACUAUUCUACAUCUAAUCCCUUAAUUAAUCUAUAAGCUCCUGAGAGGAAAGCUAUGGUACUAAAUGCUUUCACAGCGUAAGGCCAAAGUAAAUGCUUUUGGCACUAAGUAAAGGUUUCACAUAUAUUCAUGCCUUGAUUGAGGUGGAACAGGAGACCUACUAGUGAUAUUUAAUAGAAUGCUACCAAUUUCUUCUGUCUGACUGAAAGGCUCAUAGAUUCUAAGCCAUUCCUUUCCAGAAACAUCUUUAAGAACCAUGCUGCAAUUGCUUGUUGAUCAAGGCUUGUCUAACUAUGGUCCUGCUUGAAGGCAGAGAAGCCAUUUCUAUUCAUCCAACCAACCAUUCAAUAAAUAGUUAAUAGGUUCCUUCUAUGUAGAGGAGAUCUCUAUUAUGUAAGGAUAAGUGAUAGAAGAGAAAGACUUGAGUAUAAAUCCACUGAAAAUCAAGGACCAAAAUUUUAUAAGAGUGAAUAAAGUAAAAUGAUCUCAUUGGGUCUGCAUAUUGAUUAAAAUGAAACAAAUAAUUUAUUUUACCUUAUAUUUAGCAAAAUAUAGACUAUAAACACAACAAUUUGUUAACUCUGAGAAUGAACAAAGAAUGAAUCAAAGGAUGAGAUUUUGGCAUAUUUUUUGACAUCCCUUACCUAACCAUUGAUCUUUAUUGAAAUUUUAAAAAGUCAUGUUAAUUACCCUGACUUGAUUAUUACACGUGGUAUAUAUGUUUCAAAUUAUCCCAUGAUACCCUGUAAAUGUGUACAAUUAUGUAUCAAUUUAAAAUAAUAAAAGACAAGUGAUUUUUUGGAGUGAAAAUAUUUGAGAACUUCCUCAGUUUCCCCAAAGACUUCUAUUAACCCUUUAAUAUUUAAAUCACUAAUGAAAACCCUUUUCCUGACAUUUAUUGUUGAUUUUUUUCUUCUUUCAUUGUUGUGUUCAAUGAAACACAUUUAUUUGUUGUAUUUGUUGGUAGUUUUGUGUGUGUUCCCUCCCAGUGGCCUCUACUAUCCUUUUCAUCAACUUUGUGGAAUCUGUGAAUUAACUUUGCCUGGGGCUUACUUUGUAUUUUGCAUUUUAGCUGAAGACUUCCUCCAAAUGGUUCAUAACUGAUAGGAGGGGAUGGUUGCUAGUGUUAAGCAAGACGGGACAAAGGAGUGGAGACUGAACUUCAAUCAGAUAAACCCAAUAUUUAAACUGUAAGGUCCUUGGCUAUGGAAGGUGACUGGAGAACCAUUGAUCCCUGCAUUUUAUAGGAAAAGCAAGGGCCCAUUGGAACCUGUUGCUGUUGGCUCUCUUUACAAGGUGAAUUUAGACAUAUGAGCACUCCAGGAGGAGAUCUGAUUUGACAAACAUGUCUAGAAAGAGGAAAAGCAAGCACUGGCAUUAACUUGGCUUCCACUGAGACUAGGCUCCAUUAGUGAACUAAAUGUUGGUAUUCUGGGAAAAGCCAGCUUGUUACUGGAAAUUUUAAUUCUUUGAAAAAAAUGGCAUUAGAUUUGCCUUUGGUUGUUGCAUUCCAAGAGCUCUUGCCUAUGAAACCUUUCUUGAUCAUAGAGUGCAGCAAGUCUACCAGAAUGUUCAAUUUAUCUGCUACCAGUCAUCAUUUCUUGCCCUGGCAGACAUUGCUAAUCAAUCUGAUGCUGACUCAGCUCACAUUUAAACUAAGAUUUCCUGAGAUGAUUCUGUAUGCAACCACUACCAACUGAUGAGUGCUGACAUGAAUAUGAAACCUGUUUGAACUCCUUGUGCUUUUAUGGUGUGUACUUUACAAUGAACUCUGAUCUAUUCACUACCAUUGAGUUUUAGUGGCAUUUGAUAAUGUUGCACUUGAUUAUAUUGUUAUAGUAUCCUCUUUUUUGAUUCAAAUCUGUUAAAAAUUGUUUAUCUCCAAAACGUUUAAGUACCUAGGGCACUUGGACUGUGUUUUAUACUACUUUGUGACCUUCCCAGUGUCAAGAUGGGUACAGACUAGAUGCUCAAUAAAUAUUUGGGUGAUUAAUUACCUAAGGAAUUAGGAUUAAUCACCUAAAGGAUUCUUUGGUUGAUAAACCUAAGGAAUUCAAUAGAAUGGAAGUCUAGGAAAAACUUUGCUUGCAUGGAACUAUCAAAGUAAAGCUUUGGACUGUGAAUAAUUCAGUCAACCUGCAAGCCUCGAUUAUCUGCUCCGAGUUUGUGAAGACCAUUGCUGUUGUCCCCGAGGUGUAUUGAUAAGUUAACAUGAUCGUAACUCUCAAGAUGUUUAUGGUUCAGUACCAGGAGCAAGAGAGAUAAGUGUGAUCAUCAGAAUUGUAGAAAUAUAAAAGUGGUGCAGAGGAGAAAGACUGAGAUGAAUGAAGUUGACAAGGAUAACAGGUUGAACACUCCAUAGUGGAAAGAGGCAGUGAGAUGGGAAAUUAUUCCAUAAAGCUUCCUUCAAAGAGUGUCAGCAAGAUGCAAUGCCAAUGGAAUAGAAAAAUCUUUAGAAUCACAGUGUCAUAUUUGAGGGACCUUUGACUUUACAUGAAAUUACCACUGCAUGAGUACAGCAACACUUUAAUCUUGGAUAUUCCUUUAUUAUUUAUUCAUCCAACCUAGCUUGCAUAAAUAUUUCCUUGGGCUUUUUUGUUUUUCCAUGUUUGUUGGCACUGAUUUUUCAGCAAAGGAGCCUCUUAGACUGAAUGUGCUGUUAAACUGUGGCCUCCUAGGCCUAACCCACUUGAUAGCCUGCAGUUUGUGAUGGUACCUCUGCUGCCCACUCCAACCACAUCCCCUUCUUCUACCUGCCUGAUCCACCCAGAUCCCCUCUGAUUAAUUAUUCACACCUAUAUAUCUUCAACUUCCAUUAGGACCUCCCUCACGUUGUGGUGCUUCUUUACCCGCAAAAUGCAGAGCCCUGGCCGGGUGCGGUGGCUCACGCCUGUAAUCCCAGCACUUAGGGAGGC